UUACAGAGGAGGGGAGAGAGCAGGGCGACUGUGGUGGUGGGGAAUAUAUGUGUCCACCGAGUUGAUAAAGGGGCAGAGGGAAAGGGUGAGAUGUAUCAUUUGAAUUUGGAGGUCAAUGUUCGUAGUCUGAAGAAGUGUCUCAAUUCCUUCUCUCCAGAGAUGUUGCCUGUCCCGCUGAGUUACUCCGGCUUUUUGUGUCUAUCUUGUGCCCUUCCUGCACAGAUGAUAGCUGAGGCCGAUCCAGAGAUUGCUAAUUAAUGGAGGGCAGCACUACUGCGUUUGUGAUGGCGUGGACAUGGGGGUCCAUAAAUUCAUCUUGAUUUUGUGAUUGCUGAUUUUUUAAAAUCGCAACCUGUGUUGCCUUUACCUGCUGCAACCGGGCAUUGAAUAGGGGAGCAGGCUGUUGGAGUCGGCAACUGCUGGAUUUCUUCAUUUAACUGCAAAUAUAAAUUG
This is a long non-coding RNA of Leucoraja erinaceus (little skate), 453 nucleotides long. RefSeq lists it as uncharacterized. The record is from RefSeq and is a predicted model, not a curated record. NCBI's taxonomy places the organism in Eukaryota, Metazoa, Chordata, Chondrichthyes, Rajiformes, Rajidae. The transcript has 3 exons.